RNAcentral lists this ribosomal RNA (922 nucleotides) under uncultured Syndiniales. RNAcentral's name for it is "SSU rRNA". It matches the Rfam family "Eukaryotic small subunit ribosomal RNA", at positions 53 to 984 of the family's 1831-position model. The record is from RNAcentral. Lineage: Eukaryota; Dinophyceae; Syndiniales.
GCAUGUCUCAGUAUAAGUUUUAACAUAACGAAACUGCGAAUGGCUCAUUAAAACAGUUAUAGUUUACUUGAUAGUCAAUCGUUAUACGGAUAACUGCGGUAAUUCUGGAGCUAAUACGUGCACAAAGACCUGACUUCUAGGAAAGGUCGUGUUUAUUAGAUACAGAACCAAUCCACUUUGUGGUUUUUGGAUGAUUCAUAAUAAAGGAACGGAGCGCAUGACUUGUGUCGGCGCUGUUUCAUUCAAGUUUCUGACCUAUCAGCUUCCGACGGUAGGGUAUUGGCCUACCGUGGCAUUGACGGGUAACGGAGAAUUAGGGUUCGAUUCCGGAGAGGGAGCCUUAAAAACGGCUACCACAUCUAAGGAAGGCAGCAGGCGCGCAAAUUACCCAAUCCUGAUACAGGGAGGUAGUGACAAGAAAUAACACAGAGAGUGCUUUUUGCAUUUCUCUUUGGAAUGAGUAGAAUUUAAAUCUCUUUUCGACUAUCAAUUGGAGGGCAAGUCUGGUGCCAGCAGCCGCGGUAAUUCCAGCUCCAAUAGCGUAUAUUAAAGUUGUUGCGGUUAAAAAGCUCGUAGUUGGAUUUCUGUCGAGAACGCGCGGUCCACGCUUUGCGUGAGUAUCUGUGUCGGUCUUGGCAUCCUCUGGAGGAUCGUUUCUGCGCUUGAUUGCGUGGAGCGGAACUUCAGACUUUUACUUUGAGGAAAUUAGAGUGUUCACGGCAGGCAAACGCCUUGAAUACAUUAGCAUGGAAUAAUAACAUAGGACCUCGGUUCUAUUUUGUUGGUUUCUAGAGCUGAGGUAAUGAUUAAUAGGGAUAAUUGGGGGCAUUCGUAUUAACACGUCAGAGGUGGAAUUCUUGGAUUGUGUUACGACGAACUACUGCGAAAGCAUUUGCCAAGGAUGUUUUCAUUGAUCAAGAAC